CGGACGGGUGAGUAAUGCCUAGGAAUCUGCCUGGUAGUGGGGGAUAACGCUCGGAAACGGACGCUAAUACCGCAUACGUCCUACGGGAGAAAGCAGGGGACCUUCGGGCCUUGCGCUAUCAGAUGAGCCUAGGUCGGAUUAGCUAGUUGGUGAGGUAAUGGCUCACCAAGGCGACGAUCCGUAACUGGUCUGAGAGGAUGAUCAGUCACACUGGAACUGAGACACGGUCCAGACUCCUACGGGAGGCAGCAGUGGGGAAUAUUGGACAAUGGGCGAAAGCCUGAUCCAGCCAUGCCGCGUGUGUGAAGAAGGUCUUCGGAUUGUAAAGCACUUUAAGUUGGGAGGAAGGGCAGUUACCUAAUACGUAACUGUUUUGACGUUACCGACAGAAUAAGCACCGGCUAACUCUGUGCCAGCAGCCGCGGUAAUACAGAGGGUGCAAGCGUUAAUCGGAAUUACUGGGCGUAAAGCGCGCGUAGGUGGUUCGUUAAGUUGGAUGUGAAAUCCCCGGGCUCAACCUGGGAACUGCAUUCAAAACUGACGAGCUAGAGUAUGGUAGAGGGUGGUGGAAUUUCCUGUGUAGCGGUGAAAUGCGUAGAUAUAGGAAGGAACACCAGUGGCGAAGGCGACACCUGGACUGUACUGACCUGAGGUGCGAAGCGUGGGGAGCAACAGGAUAGAUCCCUGGUAGUCACGCCGUAACGAUGUAACUAGCGUUGGGAGCCUUGAGCUCUAGUGGCGCACUCACCCUUAAGUUGACCGCCUGGGAAUACGCCGCAGGAUAGACUCAAUGAUUGACG
This 800-nucleotide ribosomal RNA is filed under the name Pseudomonas fluorescens. RNAcentral's name for it is "bacterial SSU rRNA". It matches the Rfam family "Bacterial small subunit ribosomal RNA", at positions 99 to 915 of the family's 1533-position model. The record is from RNAcentral. Lineage: Bacteria; Pseudomonadati; Pseudomonadota; Gammaproteobacteria; Pseudomonadales; Pseudomonadaceae.